Molecule: non-coding RNA, 27 nt
Filed under: Bombyx mori (domestic silkworm)
Lineage: Eukaryota; Metazoa; Arthropoda; Insecta; Lepidoptera; Bombycidae
Source: RNAcentral
UGAAACAGAAAGAGUUGUGGUGGACAG